Molecule: unclassified non-coding RNA, 994 nt
Filed under: Hevea brasiliensis (rubber tree)
Lineage: Eukaryota; Viridiplantae; Streptophyta; Magnoliopsida; Malpighiales; Euphorbiaceae
Source: RNAcentral
GUACCUUUUUUAAAUACUAGUUAUUACAUUAUUAAAAUUCUUUUUAAAAGCAGCUAUGCUUUUGAUAUUAAAUAAGCAGUUAACUCUCUUACCUAACCCCACUAAGCGUAGAUUUGAGAAAGUUAUUCUGCCUCCUUUAUCUGCAAUUUCUAGCAAUUUUAGUUGAGCUAUAGGAUCGGUCAUAUGGCGACCCCAGGUUGCAUCCCCUAGCCAAUUGGGACCCAAACGUCCCACAAAUUGGGACCCAAACGUGCCGCAAAUUGGGACGGAUGAACUAGAUUGCUGAACCCAGGGUGGUUAAACUCAUACCAUUGGAUUAUUUUUACUUUAUGCCUUAUUAUUUUUAGUUUUAAGCAUUAAAAGAUACCAUACACACCAUUGAAGUAACUUCAACUGCAUCAAUUUCAAAAGCUGAAUAUCUCUUGAUUUGGUGCCAUAAUCCUAAAUUGAUGCUUGCCAAUCUCUUUCCAGCAAACAUGAGUGCUCCUUGGUUUAGGUCAACUCUGCUAGAAAUUAUGCAUGAGGAAAUGAUGACCAAUGAGAAGGAACAAGAUAUUGAGGUUGUAAAUUUAAGGGAAGAAUUUAUCUCUAGUCAAUUAUGAUGAGAGUAACACUUUCUUUUUUUUCUUUUUUCCUUUCCUACUUCUAGGAAUAGCAUAGAGAGUAGAGUUAUCGGUUUGAUAUUGUGAUCUUUUUUCUUCAAUUGGGUUUGGUGUUUGAUAUUUUCUUUUACUUUAGCGUGAACUUGACUUGUGUUGAAUUAGUUAGUGGUAAUCAUUGUAGUAGUGGAUGCUAUUGUAUUUUUUUAAUAAUACAUACAAAUGGAAACAUUAUAAGUAUUCCAUUGACAUUUUGAUAAACGUGCACCUCGCAUUACUCAGGUGUGUUGGCAGCUUGCUCCUGUCCUAGGUAGGGAUGGCAACGGAUCGGGUUUUUGUGGGUACCCAAUCCAACCGAAUCCUAAUAGGACGGUUUGGGUAUUAUAUAAUCGGGU